This 1526-nucleotide ribosomal RNA is filed under the name Klebsiella pneumoniae. RNAcentral's name for it is "partial 16S ribosomal RNA". It matches the Rfam family "Bacterial small subunit ribosomal RNA". The record is from RNAcentral. Lineage: Bacteria; Pseudomonadati; Pseudomonadota; Gammaproteobacteria; Enterobacterales; Enterobacteriaceae.
AAAUUGAAGAGUUUGAUCAUGGCUCAGAUUGAACGCUGGCGGCAGGCCUAACACAUGCAAGUCGAGCGGUAGCACAGAGAGCUUGCUCUCGGGUGACGAGCGGCGGACGGGUGAGUAAUGUCUGGGAAACUGCCUGAUGGAGGGGGAUAACUACUGGAAACGGUAGCUAAUACCGCAUAACGUCGCAAGACCAAAGUGGGGGACCUUCGGGCCUCAUGCCAUCAGAUGUGCCCAGAUGGGAUUAGCUAGUAGGUGGGGUAACGGCUCACCUAGGCGACGAUCCCUAGCUGGUCUGAGAGGAUGACCAGCCACACUGGAACUGAGACACGGUCCAGACUCCUACGGGAGGCAGCAGUGGGGAAUAUUGCACAAUGGGCGCAAGCCUGAUGCAGCCAUGCCGCGUGUGUGAAGAAGGCCUUCGGGUUGUAAAGCACUUUCAGCGGGGAGGAAGGCGAUAAGGUUAAUAACCUUGUCGAUUGACGUUACCCGCAGAAGAAGCACCGGCUAACUCCGUGCCAGCAGCCGCGGUAAUACGGAGGGUGCAAGCGUUAAUCGGAAUUACUGGGCGUAAAGCGCACGCAGGCGGUCUGUCAAGUCGGAUGUGAAAUCCCCGGGCUCAACCUGGGAACUGCAUUCGAAACUGGCAGGCUAGAGUCUUGUAGAGGGGGGUAGAAUUCCAGGUGUAGCGGUGAAAUGCGUAGAGAUCUGGAGGAAUACCGGUGGCGAAGGCGGCCCCCUGGACAAAGACUGACGCUCAGGUGCGAAAGCGUGGGGAGCAAACAGGAUUAGAUACCCUGGUAGUCCACGCCGUAAACGAUGUCGAUUUGGAGGUUGUGCCCUUGAGGCGUGGCUUCCGGAGCUAACGCGUUAAAUCGACCGCCUGGGGAGUACGGCCGCAAGGUUAAAACUCAAAUGAAUUGACGGGGGCCCGCACAAGCGGUGGAGCAUGUGGUUUAAUUCGAUGCAACGCGAAGAACCUUACCUGGUCUUGACAUCCACAGAACUUUCCAGAGAUGGAUUGGUGCCUUCGGGAACUGUGAGACAGGUGCUGCAUGGCUGUCGUCAGCUCGUGUUGUGAAAUGUUGGGUUAAGUCCCGCAACGAGCGCAACCCUUAUCCUUUGUUGCCAGCGGUCCGGCCGGGAACUCAAAGGAGACUGCCAGUGAUAAACUGGAGGAAGGUGGGGAUGACGUCAAGUCAUCAUGGCCCUUACGACCAGGGCUACACACGUGCUACAAUGGCAUAUACAAAGAGAAGCGACCUCGCGAGAGCAAGCGGACCUCAUAAAGUAUGUCGUAGUCCGGAUUGGAGUCUGCAACUCGACUCCAUGAAGUCGGAAUCGCUAGUAAUCGUAGAUCAGAAUGCUACGGUGAAUACGUUCCCGGGCCUUGUACACACCGCCCGUCACACCAUGGGAGUGGGUUGCAAAAGAAGUAGGUAGCUUAACCUUCGGGAGGGCGCUUACCACUUUGUGAUUCAUGACUGGGGUGAAGUCGUAACAAGGUAACCGUAGGGGAACCUGCGGUU